GCCAGGUGUGGUGGUGCACACCUGUAAUCCCAGCAGCUCAGGAGGCUGAGGCAGGAGGAUUGCUAGUUCAAAGCCAGACUCAGCAACUUAGCAAGGCCCUAUGCAACUGUGAGACUCUGUCUCAA
Molecule: small RNA, 125 nt
Filed under: Marmota monax (woodchuck)
Lineage: Eukaryota; Metazoa; Chordata; Mammalia; Rodentia; Sciuridae
Source: RNAcentral